This 1995-nucleotide ribosomal RNA is filed under the name human gut metagenome. Its description in RNAcentral is "bacterial LSU rRNA". It matches the Rfam family "Bacterial large subunit ribosomal RNA", at positions 1 to 1984 of the family's 2925-position model. The record is from RNAcentral.
UAAAGAUUUUAAGGGCGUACGGUGGAUGCCUUGGCGAUAUCAGCCGAAGAAGGACGCGGUAAGCUGCGAUAAGCUACGGAGAGGUGCAAGCAACCUUUGACCCGUAGAUUUCCGAAUGGGGGAACCCGGCAGUGGUUAUGCACUGUCACCCAUAGCUUAGACUAUGAGGAGGGCACCUGGGGAACUGAAACAUCUAAUUACCCAGAGGAAAAGUAAUCAAACGAGAUUUUCUUAGUAGCGGCGAGCGAACGGGAAAGAGGCCAAACCGGAGCGGGCAACCGCACCGGGGUUGAGGACAGUCAUCAAGUGUAAAUGAGGUAGAAGAAUCGAGUUGGAAAGCUCAGCCGAAGAAGGUGAAAGCCCUGUAAUCGAAACCUUGCAUACAUGGGACUGUAUCCAGAGUACCACGAGACACGUGAAACCUUGUGGGAAGCAGGGGGGACCACCCUCCAAGCCAAAAUACUGAUAUCGACCGAUAGCGCAUAGUACCGUGAGGGAAAGGUGAAAAGAACCCCUGGCGGGGAGUGAAAGAGAACCUGAAACCGUAUGUCUACAAACAGUCGAAGUCUGUAUAUAUAUCAGGACGACGGCGUGCCUAUUGAAGAAUGAACCGACGAGUUACUGUUGCUAGCGAGGUUAAGUGGAAAACAUGGAGCCGCAGCGAAAGCGAGUCUGAACAGGGCGUUCAGUUAGUAAUAGUAGACCCGAAACCGUAGUGAUCUAUCCAUGGCCAGGUUGAAGCACAGGUAAAAUUGUGUGGAGGACCGAACUCGUGAGCGUUGAAAAGCUUUGGGAUGAGUUGUGGAUAGGGGUGAAAUGCCAAUCGAACACGGAGAUAGCUGGUUCUCCCCGAAAUAGCUUUAGGGCUAGCCUCGAGGUUGAGAGUAUAGGCGGUAGAGCACUGAUCGGGCUAGGGGCCAUACCGGUUACCGAACCUAGUCAAACUACGAAUGGCUAUACUUAUACUCGGGAGUCAGACAGUGAAUGAUAAGGUCCAUUGUCAAGAGGGAAACAGCCCAGAACACCGACUAAGGUCCCAAAUGUUACACUAAGUGGCGAAGGAUGUGGAGUUUCCAAAACAACCAGGAUGUUGGCUUAGAAGCAGCCACCAUUUAAAGAGUGCGUAAUAGCUCACUGGUCGAGAGACUCUGCGCCGAAGAUGUCCGGGGCUAAAGUGUAAAACCGAAGUCGUGUCAUAUGCAGCAAUGUAUAUGGGUAGGGGAGCGUUCUCAUCGGGCUGAAGCAGUACCGUAAGGAGUUGUGGACUGAUGAGAAGUGAGAAUGUCGGUAUGAGUAGCGAAAAGAAUGGUGAGAAUCCAUUCCACCGAAAGCCUAAGGGUUCCUGAGCAACGAUCGUCGUCUCAGGGUAAGUCGGGACCUAAGCCGAGGCGGAAAAGCGUAGGCGAUGGACAACAGGUUGAAAUUCCUGUACCGGUGUGAAUCGUUUGAUCGAUGGAGUGACACAGUAAGGUAGGUCAGCACGCGAUUGGAAGUGCGUGUUUAAGCAGGUAGGUUGAGCUAUAGGCAAAUCCGUAGCUCUAAAAGCUGAGAUGUGAUGACGAGUGACUAGCAAUAGUCGCGAAGUGAUUGAUCCUACACUGUCGAGAAAAGCUUCUAGGUAGAGACACAUCGCCCGUACCAAAACCGACACAGGUAGGCGGGGAGAGAAUCCUAAGGUGCGCGGGAAAACCCUCGUUAAGGAACUCGGCAAAAUGCCUCCGUAACUUCGGGAAAAGGAGGACUCAUGUAGUGUGAAGAGCAGCAACGCUUGGAGCAUGAAUGAGUGGCACAAGAGAGGCGCAAGCGACUGUUUACCACAAACACAGGUGCCUGCUAAAGCGAAAGCUGACGUAUAGGUGCUGACACCUGCCCGGUGCUGGAAGGUUAAGAGGAGGGGUUAGACUUCGGGUCGAAGCUCUGAAUUGAAGCCCCAGUAAACGGCGGCCGUAACUAUAACGGUCCUAAGGUAGCGAAAUUCCUUGUCGGGUAAGUUCC